GAGUUUGAUUCUGGCUCAGGAUGAACGCUGGCGGCGUGCCUAAUACAUGCAAGUUGAACGGACUUGGAGGGUGCUUGCACCUAACAAGUUAGUAGCGAACGGGUGAGUAAUACAUAAGCAACCUACCUAUUAGACUGGGAUAACUAUGGGAAACGAUAGCUAAUACCGGAUAGGUAACUUGAAGGCAUCUUUAAGUUAUUAAAGGUUAGAGACACUAAUAGAUGGGCUUAUGGCGUAUUAGUUAGUUGGUGAGGUAACGGCUCACCAAGACGAUGAUACGUAGCCGGCCUGAGAGGGUGAACGGCCACAUUGGGANUGAGACACGGCCCAGACUCCUACGGGAGGCAGCAGUAGGGAAUUUUCGGCAAUGGGCGCAAGCCUGACCGAGCAACGCCGCGUGAGUGAAGAAGGCCUUCGGGUUGUAAAGCUCUGUUAUAAAUUAAGAAUGG
RNAcentral lists this ribosomal RNA (449 nucleotides) under Erysipelotrichaceae bacterium canine oral taxon 311. RNAcentral's name for it is "bacterial SSU rRNA". It matches the Rfam family "Bacterial small subunit ribosomal RNA", at positions 9 to 452 of the family's 1533-position model. Lineage: Bacteria; Bacillati; Bacillota; Erysipelotrichia; Erysipelotrichales; Erysipelotrichaceae. The record is from RNAcentral.